Strigops habroptila (Kakapo) is the source of this 1333-nucleotide long non-coding RNA. RefSeq lists it as uncharacterized. The record is from RefSeq and is a predicted model, not a curated record. NCBI's taxonomy places the organism in Eukaryota, Metazoa, Chordata, Aves, Psittaciformes, Psittacidae. The transcript is spliced from 3 exons.
CUGCUGCUUCUGGGUAUGGUCACUAGGCCAGUGAGUCGGUUCUGUUACAGGACUAAUAAACUGAUUUUUAUUUCAUGAUUCAUGGGAAUGCAGCUAUGGAAUUGCUAACUGAAAAGUCACAUAUGAUUAUUGAGCAUUCAUAGAAGCUAAUAGAAUAAAUUCUGCCAUAAGACUGAGUGUGCCUUUGAUAUGUUAUCCCAGUUUUUGGGGUAACAUUCAGAUAGUCCAGUUUUAGUUGAAUAAAUGCUCAAAACCAAAUGCAGAAUUGAACCUUUAUAUUAUAUUACUAGGACGGGAUUUUACAGCCUGAAGAUCCUGGUGCAACCUAACAUAAUAGCUGUAUAAAUAAACUUAAAAAUCUUGGGUAGCACCAGUAGUUUAUUUCUGAAGCAGAAAACUGCUUAGGAAACUGUACUUUUGAUUGUAAAUAUUUAGCUAGCAGGAUGCCGAAAGGUGGCUUGACAUGUGGAAGUGUCUGCAACUGUAAACAGCGUAAGGGCUCUGAUAAGGAAGACUAGCAGUCAGGCAGUCCAGGAGGGGGAGCAACAAACUUCCUAUGUUGAACUUCCAGUGGAACCCAGGAAAGUUUCACAGGCCUAAAUCGUUUGAUGACUAGGAGGAAGAGACUAAUUUGCUUCUUAAGACAGAAAGCAAGCAUUUAUGAAAGACCUGUCUGAUUUAGGUAUCACUACUUCUUGAGAGUAGCUUGAAUCUCACAGGGAUGCCAAGAGAAUAUUUUGGAGCUGCAGUGAAGACUGGUAUUCUCCCUGGAUGUGAAUACUAGUAGGAGGCCACUGUCAAACAAUAAUUGUUUUCUUAAUUUUAUCACAUUAGGAAAGAAAGCUUAAAUCAGUUUUACAGCAGAAUCAAAUCCUGAGUACUGGUUGCUCUGCAAUUCUUCAUUAUGAAAUCCCUGGGCUUGCUUUGGAGAUUGUAUGAAUGCUGUACAAUGCACCUGCUGAUCAGCUUGCUAAUAGUUAAAUAAAACUGAUUGAAUGUCUAAUAAAAGUGUGACUUCUGCUGAAUGUUACGGCAAGAACUUGGGACUGAUAGUGUGUAUUCAACAACCUUUCUAUUAAGGAAAGUAAGACUUUUGGAAAUAAUUUCAAAGAAAUGUGAGGAGAAAUCACAUGGUAGAUACUAAGCCUCAUCCAUCUAAGUACAAUUGGCUCUGCGUUCUGGCUUAAACUAUUGCAGUAGUGUUUUUGAAGUUUAGCUUCAUGGAAAUGAAGUCUCAAAUAAAGCCAUUGCACACAGUAGUGCUUCCUUGAAAACCUCUAACUAACCAACAAGAACUUGCUCCAUGUGGGUGUGAUACAGCAACUGAUGAGAC